GGCCUUGCGCUCAUUGAGCGGCCGAUAUCAGAUUAGCUAGUUGGUGGGGUAAAAGCUCACCAAGGCGACGAUCUGUAGCGGGUCUGAGAGGAUGAUCCGCCACACUGGAACUGAGACACGGUCCAGACUCCUACGGGAGGCAGCAGUGGGGAAUUUUGGACAAUGGGGGCAACCCUGAUCCAGCCAUGCCGCGUGAGUGAAGAAGGCCUUCGGGUUGUAAAGCUCUUUCAGCCGGGAAGAAAAACGCAUUGGUUAAUACCUGAUGUGGAUGACGGUACCGGAAUAAGAAGCACCGGCUAACUACGUGCCAGCAGCCGCGGUAAUACGUAGGGUGCGAGCGUUAAUCGGAAUUACUGGGCGUAAAGCGUGCGCAGGCGGUUUUGUAAGAUAGGCGUGAAAUCCCCGGGCUUAACCUGGGAACUGCGUUUAUGACUGCAAAGCUAGAGUACGGCAGAGGGGGGUGGAAUUCCACGUGUAGCAGUGAAAUGCGUAGAGAUGUGGAGGAACACCAAUGGCGAAGGCAGCCCCCUGGGUCGAUACUGACGCUCAUGCACGAAAGCGUGGGUAGCAAACAGGAUUAGAUACCCUGGUAGUCCACGCCCUAAACGAUGUCAACUAGGUGUUGGGAGGGUAAAACCUUUUAGUACCGGAGCUAACGCGUGAAGUUGACCGCCUGGGGAGUACGGCCGCAAGGUUAAAACUCAAAGGAAUUGACGGGGACCCGCACAAGCGGUGGAUGAUGUGGAUUAAUUCGAUGCAACGCGAAAAACCUUACCUACCCUUGACAUGUCAGGAACUUGCCAGAGAUGGCUUGGUGCUCGAAAGAGAACCUGAACACAGGUGCUGCAUGGCUGUCGUCAGCUCGUGUCGUGAGAUGUUGGGUUAAGUCCCGCAACGAGCGCAACCCUUGCCGUUAAUUGCCAUCAUUUAGUUGGGCACUUUAACGAGACUGCCGGUGACAAACCGGAGGAAGGUGGGGAUGACGUCAAGUCCUCAUGGCCCUUAUGGGUAGGGCUUCACACGUCAUACAAUGGUCGGUACAAAGGGUCGCCAACCCGCGAGGGGGAGCCAAUCCCAGAAAGCCGAUCGUAGUCCGGAUUGCAGGCUGCAACUCGCCUGCAUGAAGUCGGAAUCGCUAGUAAUCGUGGAUCAGCAUGUCACGGUGAAUACGUUCCCGGGUCUUGUACACACCGCCCGUCACACCAUGGGAGCGGGUUCCGCCAGAAGUAGGUAGCCUAACCGCAAGGAGGGCGCUUACCACGGCGGGGUUCGUGACUGGGGUGAAGUCGGAACAAGGUA
RNAcentral lists this ribosomal RNA (1299 nucleotides) under metagenome. RNAcentral's name for it is "bacterial SSU rRNA". It matches the Rfam family "Bacterial small subunit ribosomal RNA", at positions 209 to 1498 of the family's 1533-position model. The record is from RNAcentral.